RNA transcript from Solanum tuberosum (potato), 1678 nucleotides. It is a transcript of the gene named DNA repair protein RAD51 homolog 2, with no coding region annotated. The transcript is spliced from 12 exons. The record is from RefSeq and is a predicted model, not a curated record. Lineage: Eukaryota; Viridiplantae; Streptophyta; Magnoliopsida; Solanales; Solanaceae.
CCGUCUUAAUAAGUCGUAAAAUUUCAAUAAUUUUUACUCGAGGUUGAUAAGGUGAUAGUAAUGGCAAUAAGUUAGCCUUGGAGAGUAGAGAAAAGGAAGCCAUUGAUGGCGAACAAGCUCCUCAGCGAAAUGGGUCUUCCCAACUCCAUAGCCAACAUUUUUGCUGCUCGUAACCUUAUUACUGCCAAGGACGUAUUUUCACUGACAGAAUUUGAGUUGAUGGAAUUGCUAGAUGUGGAUUUGGCUGUAGUAACAUCAGCAGUGGCACACAUCAGUGAAAUUACAUGCCCUCCGUACCAAACUGCACUGUCAUUGUUGGAACAGCGUGGUCAAAAUGAGAACAUGGCUGGCCAUCUUCCAACUUCUCUAAAAGGACUCGAUAAUGCUCUGUGUGGGGGAAUUCCUUUUGGUGUUGUGACAGAGCUAGUGGGUCCAGCAGGCAUUGGUAAAACCCAGUUCUGCUUGAAGCUUUCAUUACUAGCUUCUCUUCCUUCGAGUUAUGGCGGCUUAGAUGGCUCUGUAAUUUAUAUCGAUACAGAAUCCAAAUUUAGUUCACGGAGGAUGAUAGAAAUAGGAUUUAAUAGCUUCCCAGAAGUAUUUCAGACCGAAGGGAUGGCACAGGAGAUGGCUGGAAGGAUCCUGGUUCUAAGGCCAACAUCACUUUCUGAAUUUACUGAUAGUUUGCAGAAAAUCAAAGUUUCACUAUUUCAGCACGGUGUGAAAUUGCUGAUCAUUGACAGCAUGGCUGCUCUUCUUUCAGGUGAAGGUGUACAAGGACCUCAGAGACAACACUCAUUGGGUUGGCAUAUAUCAUUUAUUAAAUCAGUUGCAGAAUUUUCACGAAUUCCUGUAGUAGUGACCAAUCAAGUGAGAUCUCAAAGUCGUGAUGGAACUUCCCACUAUUCUUUCCAAGAGCAAAGCAGAGGUGAAAGUCCAGUAGCUGCCUCAAAACUUGAUUCUCAUCUUGUUGCUGCUUUAGGGAUCCACUGGGCUCAUGCUGUUAGUAUUCGUCUUAUAUUUGAAUCAAGAUCAGUGAGCACUGUUCAAUGUUCAGUGCUUCAGAGUUCAGUAGCUCCAAGCCUCCAACAUAAAAAGAAAAACAUAGCACUCACUACCACUGAAAACAGAGCACUCAGCCACUCACUACAACUGAAAAACAGAGUAGAGAAGAAGAGGAGAAGAACUGAAGAAGAAGAAAAAAAAGAAGAAGAAGAACUACGUACCUGAGCUGAGCAACAGUCGCAAAAAACUGAGGAGCAACAGUUCCGAAGAACGAAAGUCUCGUCCUCACUCUCGAAGGGGUAGCCAUUCGUGACGAAGAGGAGAAGAGUAGCGAUUCGCUAAGGUUUGCAAAAAUACCCCAAAAAAAAAUGGAAAUAGGCGAUGCUGCCUCACCUUUCGCCUUUGGCGAGAAGGGGAGCACCUUUCAAAACACUGCUUGUAUCAUUAUUUCCUACCCAUGGAACUUUUGGAGAAGAAAAUGGAAGAUUUGGAAGCAAUGAUAUUUGGCAAAGUUACUAUUUACCUUACGAUAGGUCCUAUCUUGCACUGGAUGGGUCAAUUUCAUCUUUUUAGGUUUUUGCUCUACUCCAGGUCAAAGGUUCAUAAAAUUAGCAAAAUCUCCUGUAUCUCCGCCUUUUGCAUUCGCUUUCAACAUAACUUCUUCUGGGAUUUCAUU